CGAAUGGGUUUAGACCCAUGGCAGACGAGGUAGGAACACGUAGGUACGUACCGGAAAGUCGGGGAUAACCUGGAGAAAUCCAGAAUAAUACUCGAUAGUCCCUUCGGGGUAAAGAUUUAUCGCUUUCUGAACGGCCUGCGUUCUAUCAGCUUGAUGGUAAGGUGACGGCUUACCAUGGCUACGACGGAUAGGGGAGGUGAGGGCCUGACCCCCACCGAUGGAACUGCGACACGGUCCAU
This 239-nucleotide ribosomal RNA is filed under the name uncultured bacterium. RNAcentral describes it as "partial 16S ribosomal RNA". It matches the Rfam family "Bacterial small subunit ribosomal RNA", at positions 63 to 334 of the family's 1533-position model. The record is from RNAcentral.